RNAcentral lists this ribosomal RNA (460 nucleotides) under uncultured bacterium. Its description in RNAcentral is "partial 16S ribosomal RNA". It matches the Rfam family "Bacterial small subunit ribosomal RNA", at positions 338 to 795 of the family's 1533-position model. The record is from RNAcentral.
CCUACGGGUGGCAGCAGUGAGGAAUAUUGGUCAAUGGCCGAGUGGCUGAACCAGCCAAGUCGCGUGAGGGAAGACGGCCCUACGGGUUGUAAACCUCUUUUGUCGGGGAGCAAAGAGAGUCACGUGUGACUCAUUGAGAGUACCCGAAGAACAAGCAUCGGCUAACUCCGUGCCAGCAGCCGCGGUAAUACGGAGGGUGCGAGCGUUGUCCGGAUUUAUUGGGUUUAAAGGGUGCGUAGGCGGCUUGGCAAGUAAGAAGUGAAAUCCAUGGGCUUAACCCAUGAACUGCUUUUGAAACUGCAGAGCUUGAGUGGAGUAGAGGUAGGCGGAAUUCCCGGUGUAGCGGUGAAAUGCGUAGAGAUCGGGAGGAACACCAGUGGCGAAGGCGGCCUACUGGGCUCUAACUGACGCUGAGGCACGAAAGCGUGGGUAGCAAACAGGAUUAGAUACCCGAGUAGUC